Drosophila teissieri is the source of this 961-nucleotide long non-coding RNA. RefSeq lists it as uncharacterized. Lineage: Eukaryota; Metazoa; Arthropoda; Insecta; Diptera; Drosophilidae. The transcript has 2 exons. The record is from RefSeq and is a predicted model, not a curated record.
CUCCCUUUAGACAUUUCAAAAAAUCGAUUUUUUUUUUACUGUCUUAAUCGAUAGGUAUAUGCUUCGAGAAUAUAAUUCCGAAGUUUCAAAAUUCUAUUUUCAAAAUUGUGGAAGUUAUGCGACUUUAAAGCGGCGCGCUCGACCGGUGCGUGAGCCGGUCGAACGCGUCGAGCGAUAAGGACCCGCGCCGCGCUCUUGCCAUCGACAAUCUAUGAUAGAUUACCGGAUUCUUUCGCUUUCCCCGAAUGUAUGGUGAUAAGGAGAUGAUUUUCGAUUUUUUUCCGAAUAUCCGUCCCCCGAUAUUCGAAAAAAAAUCAGUCUAGCCUCGAUUCUUGGUGAGAUACGAUGUUUCCCAAAGGCAAAAGAGAUUCCACAGCGCGUGCUGCAUACGCGAAAAAACGUAAAUUUCGCGGUAAUCGGUAUACGAAGAAUGUUGAAAACGAUCCGAAUGCAAGUCGUGCGAAAAAGAAACUUGCAAGUACGAGUGCAAGGAAAAUCGUUGACAUUGCCGCGUACAUCGCUGCCGGGAUUUUCAAUGAAGGCUAUGCAUCAAUUUUGAUGCUGAUGGAUUCGUUGCAGUUGACCAUUGGGCAGCAGUGCAAGAUGUUCGCAGAUCAGAUGGACAUCUCCCGAUUAGCGCGCGCAGAACGUCGGCACAGCGAAAGCACGAAAGAGGCCCGAAGUGCUCGUAGGGAGGCAAAUCUCCUUGAAAAUGAGUUUUUUGAGGAAGAAGAAGGUUCGCUUUACGAACCUGGUGGAGCUGAUUGACGUGUUACUGCCACCAUCGUGUCCACUAUUGAAUAAGAAUUGCGGUCAGGAUCGCCCACGCAGAUUUCCAUGUCAGCGGCGAGGCGAGAUACAAGAUCAGCUAAAACUUCAAUUAUUUAUAAUUUUGCAAACAAUGAAAAUGUUUUUUUCUUAUCUUUAAACAUUGUCCUGAAUAUAUAUAAUACCAAUUUGA